UGGGGAAUCUUGCGCAAUGGGCGAAAGCCUGACGCAGCAACGCCGCGUGCGGGAUGAAGGCCCUCGGGUUGUAAACCGCUUUCAGCAGGAACGAAAAUGACGGUACCUGCAGAAGAAGGUCCGGCCAACUACGUGCCAGCAGCCGCGGUAACACGUAGGGACCAAGCGUUGUCCGGAUUUAUUGGGCGUAAAGCGCUCGUAGGCGGUUCGGUAAGUCGGGUGUGAAACCCCUGGGCUCAACCCGGGGACGCCACCCGAUACUGCUGUGACUCGAGUUCGGUAGGGGAGCGGGGAAUUCCUGGUGUAGCGGUGAAAUGCGCAGAUAUCAGGAGGAACACCGGUGGCGAAGGCGCCGCUCUGGGCCGAUACUGACGCUGAGGAGCGAAAGCGUGGGGAGCAAACAGGAUUAGAUACCCCCGUAGUCC
Molecule: ribosomal RNA, 425 nt
Filed under: uncultured bacterium
Lineage: Bacteria
Description: bacterial SSU rRNA
Rfam family: Bacterial small subunit ribosomal RNA
Source: RNAcentral